AUCGCUUCUCGGCCUUUUGGCUAAGAUCAAGUGUAGUAUUUGUUCUUAUCAGUAAAAUAAAGAUACUGCUGGAAACUACUGGCCACAGAAUUAAAUCCAAACUUCUUAGCUCAGUAUUUAAUAUCUGUAAUGCUCUAGCUCAGAGGUUGGCUGACUUUGGCCCAGAGGCCAAUCCAGCCAACUGCUA
Small nuclear RNA from Zalophus californianus (California sea lion), 187 nucleotides. Its record names the gene U2. It matches the Rfam family "U2 spliceosomal RNA". From Rfam's summary of the family: U2 is a small nuclear RNA (snRNA) component of the spliceosome (involved in pre-mRNA splicing). Complementary binding between U2 snRNA (in an area lying towards the 5' end but 3' to hairpin I) and the branchpoint sequence (BPS) of the intron results the bulging out of an unpaired adenosine, on the BPS, which initiates a nucleophilic attack at the intronic 5' splice site, thus starting the first of two transesterification reactions that mediate splicing. The record is from Ensembl. Lineage: Eukaryota; Metazoa; Chordata; Mammalia; Carnivora; Otariidae.